RNAcentral lists this ribosomal RNA (370 nucleotides) under uncultured marine anaerobic bacterium 90dCB10. RNAcentral describes it as "bacterial SSU rRNA". It matches the Rfam family "Bacterial small subunit ribosomal RNA", at positions 965 to 1334 of the family's 1533-position model. Lineage: Bacteria; Bacillati; Bacillota; Clostridia; Eubacteriales. The record is from RNAcentral.
AGAACCUUACCAAAUCUUGACAUCCUUAUGACCGGCAUUUAAUUUUGCCUUCUCUUCGGAGCAUAAGUGACAGGUGGUGCAUGGUUGUCGUCAGCUCGUGUCGUGAGAUGUUGGGUUAAGUCCCGCAACGAGCGCAACCCUUAUCUUUAGUAGCCAGCACGUUGAGGUGGGAACUCUAGAGAGACUGCCGGGGAUAACUCGGAGGAAGGUGGGGAUGACGUCAAAUCAUCAUGCCCCUUAUGAUUUGGGCUACACACGUGCUACAAUGGCGGAUACAAAGAGAAGCGACGGGGUGACCUGAAGCAAACCUCAUAAAUGUCCUCUCAGUUCGGAUUGUAGUCUGCAACUCGACUCCGUGAAGCUGGAAUCG